Molecule: long non-coding RNA, 1420 nt
Organism: Magnolia sinica
Lineage: Eukaryota; Viridiplantae; Streptophyta; Magnoliopsida; Magnoliales; Magnoliaceae
Exons: 2
Source: RefSeq, a predicted model, not a curated record
AGUUUGAAAUUUAGUGAAAUUCUUGAGAUUAUUGCCAUUUUUUAUGUACCUUGACAAAAGAAUGGUGAAUAGUGAGAUUGGGUGCAUCAGCUGCUACUCAGAUUGUGAAGAUAUUGAGGUAAUCGUUAGUGCAUAUUUCUUUGCUUUUGUAUUUUUAACUUGUAGAACAGUACCUGGAUAGUAGAUGCAUCAGACGGCGGCAUAGACAACACGCUAUCACAAAUCAGAUGAAGGGGGUAGUUCAUGUGGCGGUUACAAAUUCACAUUCACAGAAUGAGUUAGAUUCCCACAAGAGCUGACUAGGUUUCAUAGUUGGUGGGACCCACACAUCAAAAGCAUGAUAUGGUAGUGAUUUUUCUCAGGUGGAUGGUGGACAUCAGUGCGCUUCUAUCUGAGAUUUGAGCAGUGGCAUGUUGAAACUCUUUGAGUUGUCAGGUGGGUCCCAUGCGUUUGGAAAAUGGAUGGUUGAAAAGAUUCAAGCAAUGAGAUGGUUUUGCAACCAAAUUUUAAGGCCGGUUAAGGUGAUCAGAAAGGCCAAGUCAGACUUGAUUUCCUGGCCAUUGUUUUUCAGACCAUUUUGUUAAUGUAAACAUAAUAACGUUGACGCUUUCUCGUCGUAAUUGUUGUAAUUCGUAAAGCAAUUUUUAUAUCUCUGUUGUUUUUUUUUUGCUGGACAGGUUAGAAAUUUUCUCGUGUGGUUAGUGUGUAGUAGUUGAACUAAUGCCAGAGGGCAGUGACCAUGUUACCCUAGUGGUUGAACUAAUGAUGUAUUAGAGAUGUUGAUCCCUAAUACAUAAUGAGCUCUUCUUAAAAAUAAUUAUGUAUUGGAUAUCAAUAUCUCUAAUCCAUAGUUACUGUUAACUAAAAUGAAAUUAACUUAUCUAUUGCCAUCUACCAAACAGGCCCUUAGCCUUAUAUUCUACUCUUAAACUUGACUUGGGUUUGGUGGGGAAUUCGGGUUAGUUCACCCCAACUCAAAUUACAAUUAAAGCGGUCAAGCUUGCUAAAUUUUAAGUGCGUCGGGUCAAGCCACUGAGUAAUGGGUUGUGGGUUGGAUCAGGCCAGGCUAGAAUUCUUGGUCAGAUUAGUAAACGGUUGGGCUCGACCCGAACCCAAUCCAUUGCCACGUCAGCUUCAAACAUGUCAAAAUUGGAUUGUGAUUCCCAAAUAUUUCCCAAAAAGGGAGCUGCAUAAAUGAAUCUUCCUAACUUUUGCGUGCCGGAAAAGCCAAAGAAAACCAUUAGACAAAAAAAAUAAAAAAUAAAAAAAAAACAGAGUCUGCCAUUCAACAGACGAACCUACUUUUGAAUAAGGUAUGUAUGCAACAGAAGAAAGCAUUUUUAAUCAGAAAGACCCGCCACAUUACACGGAAGAUUUCCCUUCAUUACAACAUACUACAAUCUACACCCCUUUUUUUUAA